GCCAUGCAUGGUCUANGUACAGAGACUCGUAUUCUAAAACCGCGGAUGGCUCAUUAUAACAGCUAUGAUUUGAGGGAAAUAAACUUUGUUUGCUACAAGAUAACUGNGGUAAUUCUAGAGCUAAUAUUUUUAANAAUGCUGUGACUUCGGAAGCAGCGGAUUUAUUANAUCAAAACUAACCUGUCUGCAAAGGCAGUUAAUUGAUGACUCUGGAUAACUUUNCUGAUCGAACNACCUUGUGUUGACNACAAAUCUCUUGAANUGGCUGACCUAUCAACUUUCGAUGGUAAGAUCAAAGCUUACCNUGGUUGUAACGGGUAACGGGGAAUCAGUGUUCGAUUCCGGAGAGGGANCCUGAGAAACGGCUACCACNUCCACGGAAGGCAGCNGGCGCGUAAAUUACCCAAUACCGGCUCGGUGAGGUAGUGACAAAAAAUAACAAUAUGGGCCCUAGUGGUUUCAUAAUUGCAAUGAGAAUAUUUUAAAUACUUUAUCAAGUAUCAAUUGGAGGGCAAGUCUGGUGCCAGCAGCCGCGGUAAUUCCAGCUCCAAAAGCGUAUAUUAAAGUUGUUGCAGUUAAAAAGCUCGUAGUUGAAAUUUAGGAUUCUAGAUUCUUUUCUAUCUUAUGAUUGAAAUAAAUUUAGUCCUUUUGUGUCGUGUAUAUUAAUUAGUUACUUUAUUGUAUCUGGUUAAUAACCGGCUAGUUUACUUUGAAAAAAUUAGAGUGCUUAAAGCAGGCUUAUGCUUGUAUAUUGUUGCAUGGAAUAAUAAAAUAGGACUUCGGUUUUAUUUUGUUGGUUUUCGAAACUGAAGUAAUGAUUAAAAGAGACUGCCGGGGGCAUGUGUAUGCUGGUGUUAGAGGUGAAAUUCUUAGAUCAUCAGCAGACAAACUACUGCGAAAGCAUUUGCCAAGAAUGUUUUCAUUAAUCAAGAACGAAAGUCAGAGGAUCGAAGACGAUCAGAUACCGUCCUAGUUCUGACCAUAAACUAUGCCAACUGACAGUUAGCUAAGGUAUAUUCAUAUCCUUGCUAGAAGUCACCGGGAAACCAAAGUCUAUGGGUUCCGGGGGAAGUAUGGUUGCAAAGCUGAAACUUAAAGGAAUUGACGGAAGGGCACCACAAGGAGUGGAGCCUGCGGCUUAAUUUGACUCAACACGGGAAAUCUCACCCGGUCCGGACACUGUGAGGAUUGACAGAUUGAUAGCUCUUUCUUGAUUCGGUGGGUGGUGGUGCACUGGCCGUUCUUAGUUGGUGGAGCGAUUUGUCUGGUUAAUUCCGAUAACGAACGAGACUCGAGCCUGCUAAAAUAGUGGAUCUGUGUUAAAUCGCAGAUUCUUCACUUCUUAGAGGAAUAAAUAGCGUUUAGCUAANUGAAAAUGAGCAAUAACNGGUCUGUGANGCCCUUANAUGUCCGGGGCCGCCCGCGCGCUACAAUGUCAGUAACAACGAGUAUUUUUCCAAACCAAAAUGNUAAAGGCNUCUGUUGAACACUGNCGUAUCNGGAAAAGGGUUUGAAAAUUUUNCCCCUUGAACGAGGAAUUCCUA
This 1544-nucleotide ribosomal RNA is filed under the name Microplana terrestris. RNAcentral describes it as "SSU rRNA". It matches the Rfam family "Eukaryotic small subunit ribosomal RNA", at positions 48 to 1616 of the family's 1831-position model. Lineage: Eukaryota; Metazoa; Platyhelminthes; Tricladida; Geoplanidae. The record is from RNAcentral.